RNAcentral lists this transfer RNA (87 nucleotides) under Candidatus Woesebacteria bacterium. Its description in RNAcentral is "tRNA-Leu". It matches the Rfam family "tRNA". Rfam says of the family: Transfer RNA (tRNA) molecules are approximately 80 nucleotides in length. Their secondary structure includes four short double-helical elements and three loops (D, anti-codon, and T loops). Further hydrogen bonds mediate the characteristic L-shaped molecular structure. tRNAs have two regions of fundamental functional importance: the anti-codon, which is responsible for specific mRNA codon recognition, and the 3' end, to which the tRNAs corresponding amino acid is attached (by aminoacyl-tRNA synthetases). tRNAs cope with the degeneracy of the genetic code in two manners: having more than one tRNA (with a specific anti-codon) for a particular amino acid; and 'wobble' base-pairing, i.e. permitting non-standard base-pairing at the 3rd anti-codon position. The record is from RNAcentral. Lineage: Bacteria; Candidatus Woeseibacteriota.
GCCUGGGUGGCGGAAUCGGUAUACGCGCGACACUCAAAAUGUCGUGGGAGCAAUCCCGUGAGGGUUCGAGUCCCUCCCCAGGCACCA